RNAcentral lists this unclassified non-coding RNA (335 nucleotides) under soil metagenome. Its description in RNAcentral is "partial contains 5.8S ribosomal RNA, internal transcribed spacer 2, and large subunit ribosomal RNA". The stretch from base 1 to 120 matches the Rfam family "5.8S ribosomal RNA", at positions 35 to 154 of the family's 154-position model. The record is from RNAcentral.
GAUGAAGAACGUAGCGAAAUGCGAUAAGUAGUGUGAAUUGCAGAAUUCAGUGAAUCAUCGAAUCUUUGAACGCACAUUGCGCCCCUUGGUAUUCCAUGGGGCAUGCCUGUUCGAGCGUCAUUUGUACCCUCAAGCUUUGCUUGGUGUUGGGUGUUUGUCCUCUCCUUUGCGUUUGGACUCGCCUUAAAGCAAUUGGCAGCCAGUGUUUUGGUAUUGAAGCGCAGCACAAUUUGCGAUUCUAACCGACUACACUUGCGUCCAUAAGCCUUUUUUAACUUUUGACCUCGGAUCAGGUAGGGAUACCCGCUGAACUUAAGCAUAUCAAUAAGCGGAGA